RNAcentral lists this long non-coding RNA (539 nucleotides) under Homo sapiens (human). RNAcentral's name for it is "non-protein coding lnc-IL12RB1-3:1". Lineage: Eukaryota; Metazoa; Chordata; Mammalia; Primates; Hominidae. The record is from RNAcentral.
GCAGCUCGUCCGGCGUCGGCUGGAAGGGAAGCUGGUGGAGACGUUCCCGGGAGGAUGAGCUUGACUGGUAGAGAGUGGUGGGGAUCAGAGCCAUGAGUUCACCGUCAGUGCUGUGGCCAGGAACCCAGCACCACCCCUCAAGGCCCAGGCUGCCUGCUGGCCAUCAGAAGGUACCUCUUCCAGGAAGCCCCCCCGUGAGUCCAGCUGCCACUGUGUCCCCUGUCAAAGCUUCAACCUCUGAGCUGUAGCUUCUGGGGCACACAUUGACCACCCCCCACCAAACGGAGGACUCCCCAGGGGCUCAGGGCCAGCUGCCCAUUUGCGACCAUGCCCUCAGCCCGCAGCACAGAGCAUACACACAGUGGGUGCUUAAUGAAUGUUGUUGUAUGAAUAAAUAAAUGAAAUGCAAGCGUCUGGCACAUGACAGGUGCUCAAUCAGCUCUUGUUAAGUGAAUGAAUGAAUGAUUUCUUUAGUGAGUUAAUGAUUCUUAGGGCUAUAUCCCCCCAUGACCCCCCACCCCCUGGGCUGGUUGAAAUUA